Molecule: ribosomal RNA, 74 nt
Filed under: Fusarium avenaceum
Lineage: Eukaryota; Fungi; Ascomycota; Sordariomycetes; Hypocreales; Nectriaceae
Description: partial 28S ribosomal RNA
Source: RNAcentral
UUGACCUCGGAUCAGGUAGGAAUACCCGCUGAACUUAAGCAUAUCAAUAAGGCGGAGGAAUGUCUUAUUACCGA